Molecule: small RNA, 63 nt
Filed under: Caenorhabditis elegans
Lineage: Eukaryota; Metazoa; Nematoda; Chromadorea; Rhabditida; Rhabditidae
Description: Unclassified non-coding RNA H28G03.8
Source: RNAcentral
CACACAGGAAGGAGAGGUCAGAGUACGAGCACUGCGCAAUAGGAAAACAUCUUCCUUGAGUGG